This 459-nucleotide ribosomal RNA is filed under the name uncultured bacterium. Its description in RNAcentral is "partial 16S ribosomal RNA". It matches the Rfam family "Bacterial small subunit ribosomal RNA", at positions 338 to 795 of the family's 1533-position model. The record is from RNAcentral.
CCUACGGGUGGCAGCAGUGAGGAAUAUUGGUCAAUGGUCGGGAGGCUGAACCAGCCAAGUCGCGUGAGGGAAGACGGCCCUACGGGUUGUAAACCUCUUUUUUCGGGGAGCAAAGCGAGUCACGUGUGACUCAUUGACAGUACCCGAAGAAAAAGCAUCGGCUAACUCCGUGCCAGCAGCCGCGGUAAUACGGAGGAUGCGAGCGUUAUCCGGAUUUGUUGGGUUAAAGGGGUGCGCAGGCGGAGCUGGAAGUCAGCGGUCAUAUUGCGGGGCUCAACCCCGUACUGCCGUUGAAACUGCAUCCCUUGAGUGCGCGAGAGGUAUGCGGAAUGCGUGGUGUAGCGGUGAAAUGCAUAGAUAUAACGCAGAACUCCGAUUGCGAAGGCAGCAUACCGGCGCGCAACUGACGCUCAUGCACGAAAGCGUGGGUAUCGAACAGGAUUAGAUACCCUGGUAGUC